This 497-nucleotide ribosomal RNA is filed under the name uncultured bacterium. RNAcentral describes it as "partial 16S ribosomal RNA". It matches the Rfam family "Bacterial small subunit ribosomal RNA", at positions 28 to 507 of the family's 1533-position model. The record is from RNAcentral.
GAUGAACGCUGGCGGCGUGCCUAAUACAUGCAAGUCGAGCGGACGGACGAGAAGCUUGCUUCUCUGAUGUUAGCGGCGGACGGGCGAGUAACACGUGGAUAACAUACCUAUAAUACUGGGAUAACUUCGGGAAACCGGAGCUAAUACCGGAUGAUAUUUUGAACCGCAUGGUGCAAAAGUGAAAGACGGUCUUGCUGUCACUUAUAGAUGGAUCCGCGCUGCAUUAGCUAGUUGGUAAGGUAACGGCUUACCAAGGCAACGAUGCAUAGCCGACCUGAGAGGGUGAUCGGCCACACUGGAACUGAGACACGGUCCAGACUCCUACGGGAGGCAGCAAUAGGGAAUCUUGCGCAAUGGGCGAAAGCCUGACGGAGCAACGCCGCGUGAGUGAUGAAGGUCUUCGGGUCGUAAAACUCUGUUAUUAGGGAAGAACAGAUGUGGAAGUAACUGUGCACAUCUUGACGGUACCUAAUCAGAAAGCCCCGGCUAACUACGUG